This 493-nucleotide ribosomal RNA is filed under the name uncultured bacterium. Its description in RNAcentral is "partial 16S ribosomal RNA". It matches the Rfam family "Bacterial small subunit ribosomal RNA", at positions 29 to 507 of the family's 1533-position model. The record is from RNAcentral.
UACGCACGCUGGCGGCGUGCCUAACACAUGCAAGUUGAGCGACGAACCAGGGCUUGCCCUGGGGCAAAGCAGCGAACGGGUGAGUAACACGUGGGUAACCUACCCCGAUAACCGGGACAACCCGAGGAAACUCGGGCUAAUACCGGAUGUGCUCACUGGACUUCGGUUCAGUGCGUAAAGGAAGCUUCGGCCUCCGUAUCGGGAGGGGCCCGCGGCCCAUUAGUUUGUUGGUGAGGUAACGGCUCACCAAGACCGCGAUGGGUAGCUGGUCUGAGAGGACGAUCAGCCACACUGGGACUGAGACACGGCCCAGACUCCUACGGGAGGCAGCAGUGGGGAAUCUUGCGCAAUGCGCGAAAGCGUGACGCAGCAACGCCGCGUGGGGGAAGAAGGCCUUCGGGUUGUAAACCCCUUUCAGGAGGGACGAAGGUUCGGCGGUGAAUAGCCGUCCGGACUGACGGUACCUCCACAAGAAGCCCCGGCUAACUACGUG